Molecule: ribosomal RNA, 466 nt
Filed under: uncultured bacterium
Lineage: Bacteria
Description: partial 16S ribosomal RNA
Rfam family: Bacterial small subunit ribosomal RNA
Source: RNAcentral
GACGAACGCUGGCGGCGUGCUUAACACAUGCAAGUCGAACGGAAAGGCCCUGCUUGCAGGGUACUCGCGUGGCGAACGGGUGAGUAACACGUGGGUGAUCUGCCCUGCACUUCGGGAUAAGCUUGUGAAACUGGGUCUAAUACCGGAUAGGUGCCAUCUUUAGUGUGGUGGUUGGAAAGUUUUUUCGGUGUAGGAUGAGCUCGCGGACUAUCAGCUUGUUGGUGGGGUAAUGGCCUACCAAGGCGGCGACGGGUAGCCGGCCUGCGAGGGUGUACGGCCACACUGGAACCGAGAGACGGGCCAGACUCCGACGGGAGGCAGCAGUGGGGAAUAUUGCACAAUGGGCGCAAGCCUGAUGCAGCGACGCCGCGUGGUGGAUGAAGGCCUUCGGGUUGUAAACUCCUUUCGCUAGGGACGAAGCUUUUUUGUGACGGUACCUAGAUAAGAAGCACCGGCUAACUACGUG